Molecule: non-coding RNA, 32 nt
Filed under: Homo sapiens (human)
Lineage: Eukaryota; Metazoa; Chordata; Mammalia; Primates; Hominidae
Source: RNAcentral
UGCACCACGGAAGACCCUACCAAUGGCGCCGA